RNAcentral lists this ribosomal RNA (491 nucleotides) under uncultured bacterium. RNAcentral describes it as "partial 16S ribosomal RNA". It matches the Rfam family "Bacterial small subunit ribosomal RNA", at positions 29 to 506 of the family's 1533-position model. The record is from RNAcentral.
AGUGAACGCUGGCGGUAGGCCUAACACAUGCAAGUCGAACGGCAGCACAGUAAGAGCUUGCUCUUACGGGUGGCGAGUGGCGGACGGGUGAGGAAUACAUCGGAAUCUACUUUUUCGUGGGGGAUAACGUAGGGAAACUUACGCUAAUACCGCAUACGACCUACGGGUGAAAGCAGGGGAUCUUCGGACCUUGCGCGAUUGAAUGAGCCGAUGUCGGAUUAGCUAGUUGGCGGGGUAAAGGCCCACCAAGGCGACGAUCCGUAGCUGGUCUGAGAGGAUGAUCAGCCACACUGGAACUGAGACACGGUCCAGACUCCUACGGGAGGCAGCAGUGGGGAAUAUGGGACAAUGGGCGCAAGCCUGAUCCAGCCAUACCGCGUGGGUGAAGAAUGCCUUCGGGUUGUAAAGCCCUUUUGUUGGGAGAGAAAAGCAGCGGGUUAAUACCCCGCUGUUCUGACGGUACCCAAAGAAUAAGCACCGGCUAACUUCGU